CAGGGAGUAGUUUAUUUAAAAUAUCAAUUUUGGAGAUUGGAGAAGAAGAGUUCUUUUUCCCUGA
RNAcentral lists this transfer RNA (64 nucleotides) under Trigonopterus porg. Its description in RNAcentral is "tRNA-Pro". Lineage: Eukaryota; Metazoa; Arthropoda; Insecta; Coleoptera; Curculionidae. The record is from RNAcentral.